CCGCACGGGUGAGUAACACGUAUCCACCUGCCGUCUACUCUUGGACAGCCUUCUGAAAGGAAGAUUAAUACAAGAUGGCAUCAUGAGUCCGCAUGUUCACAUGAUUAAAGGUAUUCCGGUAGACGAUGGGGAUGCGUUCCAUUAGAUAGUAGGCGGGGUAACGGCCCACCUAGUCUUCGAUGGAUAGGGGUUCUGAGAGGAAGGUCCCCCACAUUGGAACUGAGACACGGUCCAA
This 235-nucleotide ribosomal RNA is filed under the name uncultured bacterium. RNAcentral's name for it is "partial 16S ribosomal RNA". It matches the Rfam family "Bacterial small subunit ribosomal RNA", at positions 98 to 334 of the family's 1533-position model. The record is from RNAcentral.